GCAGUGGUGGUUCGGUGGUAGAAUUGUCACCUUCCAUGUGGGAGACCUGGGUUCGAGUCCCAGCAUAUGCA
RNAcentral lists this transfer RNA (71 nucleotides) under Loxodonta africana (African savanna elephant). It matches the Rfam family "tRNA". Rfam says of the family: Transfer RNA (tRNA) molecules are approximately 80 nucleotides in length. Their secondary structure includes four short double-helical elements and three loops (D, anti-codon, and T loops). Lineage: Eukaryota; Metazoa; Chordata; Mammalia; Proboscidea; Elephantidae. The record is from Rfam by way of RNAcentral.